Molecule: ribosomal RNA, 497 nt
Filed under: uncultured bacterium
Lineage: Bacteria
Description: partial 16S ribosomal RNA
Rfam family: Bacterial small subunit ribosomal RNA
Source: RNAcentral
GAUGAACGCUGGCGGCGUGCCUAAUACAUGCAAGUCGAGCGAACGGACGAGAAGCUUGCUUCUCUGAUGUUAGCGGCGGACGGGUGAGUAACACGUGGAUAACCUACCUAUAAGACUGGGAUAACUUCGGGAAACCGGAGCUAAUACCGGAUAAUAUUUUGAACCGCAUGGUUCAAAAGUGAAAGACGGUCUUGCUGUCACUUAUAGAUGGAUCCGCGCUGCAUUAGCUAGUUGGUAAGGUAACGGCUUACCAAGGCAACGAUGCAUAGCCGACCUGAGAGGGUGAUCGGCCACACUGGAACAGAGACACGGUCCCGACUCCUACGGGAGGCAGCAGUAGGGAAUCUUCCGCGAUGGGCGAAAGCCUGACGGAGCAACGCCGCGUGAGUGAUGAAGGUCUUCGGAUCGUAAAACUCUGUUAUUAGGGAAGAACAUAUGUGUAAGUAACUGUGCACAUCUUGACGGUACCUAAUCAGAAAGCCACGGCUAACUACGUG